Molecule: ribosomal RNA, 253 nt
Filed under: uncultured bacterium
Lineage: Bacteria
Description: partial 16S ribosomal RNA
Rfam family: Bacterial small subunit ribosomal RNA
Source: RNAcentral
UACGUAGGGGGCAAGCGUUGUCCGGAUUUAUUGGGCGUAAAGGGCGCGUAGGCGGCUAGAUGUGUCAAAGGUGAAAUCCCUCGGCUCAACUGAGGAACUGCCUUUGAAACUGUCUGGCUUGAGGCCGGGAGAGGGUAGCGGAAUUCCCAGUGUAGCGGUGAAAUGCGUAGAUAUUGGGAGGAACACCAGUGGCGAAGGCGGCUACCUGGACCGGUUCUGACGCUGAGGCGCGAAAGCGUGGGGAGCAAACAGG